AUGCUGGAAGGAGAGGAUGGACCUGUUGAAGACCCCAAAGGUAUACCUGACCUUACUGUUCAGUUCUAUAAAAAACUAUUUGGCUUUACCCCCAAACUUAAUAUUCACCUCAAAAAAGGGUUUUGGGGAGAGGAUGGGAUAGUUUCCAGGGCUCAUAAUGAAAAACUUGAUGCUCCUUUUUCUGAGGAAGAAAUCAAGGCUGCUGUCUUUGGCUCUUAUGCUGAAGGGGCCCCAGGCCCAGAUGGCUUCUCCUUUUUAUUUUAUCAGCACUUUUGGGAUUUGAUUAAGCCAAACUUGCUUGCUCUUUUUGCAGACUGGGAAAAAGGGGAGCUUGAUUUAUAUAGGCUUAAUUUCUCCCUUCUUACUUUGGUUCCUAAAGAACCAAAUGCUGUUAGACUAGAAAGAUUUAGACCUCUUGCCAUGACCAAUUGUAGUUUUAUUUUUUUUUCUAAAUGCUGUACAAAUAGGUUUGGUCCAGUAUGUGAUGAUAUUAUCUUACAAAACCAAACUGCCUUUAUGAAAGGGAGGUUCAUUAUGGAGAGCAUAGUUGCUGCUCAUGAGAUUGUGCACUCUUUGGCCUCCUCUAAACUUCCUGGUUUUGUUUUCAAACUUGACUAUGAGAAAGCUUAUGACAUGAUAAAUAGAGAUUUCCUUUUUGAAGUGUUAUCCAGUAGAGGCUUUAGCCCUAAAUGGAUUGAGAGAAUUAGAACUCUAAUAGUUAAUGGAUCUAUUGGUGUCAGAGUUAAUGACACCAAUAGUGACUUCUUUAUCACAGGUAAAGGGGUGAAACAGGGUGAUCCUAUUUCCCCUUUACUUUUCAACGUGGUUGCUGAUGCAUUCACUAGAAUGUUAGUUGAAGCAGCCAGGUAUAAUUUGAUUUCUGGUGUUUUCCCAAACACCAAACCUUUUGGGGUCAUCAGUAUGCAGUAUGCAGAUGAUACUCUUCUUUUCAUGAGCAAGAAUUUAGAUCAUGCCAAAAAUCUCAAAUGGCUCCUGUCAUGUUUUGAGCAAAUGUCUGGCAUGAGAAUUAACUUUCACAAAUGUGACUUGGUUCCCAUAAAUGUAGAUGGGGAUGAGGCCCAACUUUUUGCCCAAACUUUGGGGUGUAGAUUAGGUGUGUUCCCAAUUAAAUAUUUAGGUGCUCCUCUUCAUUAUGCUAAGUUGAAGAGAGAAGAUCUACAACCCCUGGUAGAUAAGAUUCUUAAGAAAGCCUCAGGGUGGAGGGGACGUCUCUUAUCCAUAGGUAAGAGACGUGUGCUAGUCCAAUCUAAUUUGGCUAGCAUCCCUGCCUAUUUGGUGGGGGUAAUUAAACUCCCAAAAUGGGCAACCACUCUCAUUAACUCGCAGCUAGCUAAUUGCUUCUAG
This 1365-nucleotide ribosomal RNA is filed under the name Triticum aestivum (bread wheat). RNAcentral's name for it is "partial small subunit ribosomal RNA". The record is from RNAcentral. Lineage: Eukaryota; Viridiplantae; Streptophyta; Magnoliopsida; Poales; Poaceae.